UUGGGACCCAAACCCAUGGUCAAGUAGGAAAGAGCUCGAUCAUCUUCUUCAACAAUGAGCACAUCAUCUUCAGUGUACUGAUCUCGAGGCUUCUUUAUUUUGACAUCUGGUUCUGUGGGGCUUUCCAUCAUAAUCUCCCUAGGUCCUCUCAAGAUGCUGCGCCAUAACUUGUAAUCCUUAACCUUCAGGUGCUGUUCAAAGCGCCACUUCCACUCGGGAAAGUCAUUAGCAUCAGUUAACCUUGGAAUGCGUGUUGUAGUUCCAAGCUUUGAGUCCAAUUCUUGUUGUUGAUUAAGGGCAGACAGUUCACUGUUGUUCGAUGACAUGAUUAAUUAAUCAGUUAAUUAAUUAAUUAAUUUUAUUAAGUCCAAAAGUCAACAGUCCAACAGUCCGUAAAACAAUGUUGUUGCGAGUCGUAACAGCUGAGGUUGCGAGUCGUAACGAAAACAGAAUGAGCCGAAAUCAAGGUUGCGAGUCGUAAUAGCUUU
Molecule: long non-coding RNA, 488 nt
Filed under: Helianthus annuus (common sunflower)
Lineage: Eukaryota; Viridiplantae; Streptophyta; Magnoliopsida; Asterales; Asteraceae
Description: hypothetical non coding rna
Source: RNAcentral